Molecule: unclassified non-coding RNA, 250 nt
Filed under: Diplodia sp.
Lineage: Eukaryota; Fungi; Ascomycota; Dothideomycetes; Botryosphaeriales; Botryosphaeriaceae
Description: partial internal transcribed spacer region
Rfam family: Eukaryotic small subunit ribosomal RNA (bases 1-46)
Source: RNAcentral
AAGUCGUAACAAGGUUUCCGUAGGUGAACCUGCGGAAGGAUCAUUACCGAGUUCUCGGGCUUCGGCUCGAAUCUCCCACCCUUUGUGAACAUACCUCUGUUGCUUUGGCGGCUCUUUGCCGCGAGGUGGCCCCCGCGGGCCCCCCCGCGCGCUUUCCGCCAGAGGACCUUCAAACUCCAGUCAGUAAACGUCGACGUCUGAUAAACAAGUUAAUAAACUAAAACUUUCAACAACGGAUCUCUUGGUUCUG